CACGAGAUCUUUUAAUUGAUAGUCUUUAUCACUUACAUGUUGAUGCGAAUAUGAACCUAAACAAGUAAAUAGUGAGUGCCAUAGGCUAAAAGAGAUCUAGAGAUGAAAUUAAUCAGAAGUACUUGUGAUACCAUAGACUAGACCAUAUUGGAGAGGACAGGAUAAACAGACUGAAAAAAGAUGGGAUUGUUGGCUCUCUUAACCC
Molecule: long non-coding RNA, 205 nt
Filed under: Elaeis guineensis (African oil palm)
Lineage: Eukaryota; Viridiplantae; Streptophyta; Magnoliopsida; Arecales; Arecaceae
Description: long non-coding RNA (EGUI_LNC032575)
Source: RNAcentral